RNAcentral lists this ribosomal RNA (301 nucleotides) under uncultured bacterium. Its description in RNAcentral is "partial 16S ribosomal RNA". It matches the Rfam family "Bacterial small subunit ribosomal RNA", at positions 509 to 807 of the family's 1533-position model. The record is from RNAcentral.
CAGCCGCCGCGGGAAUACGAGGGGGGCUAGCGUUGUUCGGAUUUACUGGGCGUAAAGGGCGCGUAGGCGGACUGAUAAGUCAGGGGUGAAAUCCCAAGGCUCAACCUUGGAACUGCCUUUGAUACUGUUUGUCUUGAGUUCGAGAGAGGUAAGUGGAACUGCGAGUGUAGAGGUGAAAUUCGUAGAUAUUCGCAAGAACACCAGUGGCGAAGGCGGCUUACUGGCUCGAAACUGACGCUGAGGCGCGAAAGCGUGGGGAGCAAACAGGAUUAGAUACCCCGGUAGUCCCUGUCUCUUAUAC